GUUGUUUUCAGUGAGCCUGUGUUUCCGCAUUUCGAACAGGAGGUGAUUAGUGUGUAAACAAACAUAUUAGCGCACAUGACGUACCUAAGCUGUUCGUCAGCUACGAGAAAUACCAGAUCGACGUUGGCUUAUGAGGGUAAUCAUGGACUGCAAGGGAACUAAUUUGCUGGAAAAAGAGAAGAAUGAAGUAUAUGCUGAAUCAGGCGCAUUGUUUCUUGAAGAUCCACUAAAGAUGCCUAGUCAACAUGAACUGAAACAGGA
Long non-coding RNA from Schistocerca nitens (vagrant locust), 261 nucleotides. RefSeq lists it as uncharacterized. NCBI's taxonomy places the organism in Eukaryota, Metazoa, Arthropoda, Insecta, Orthoptera, Acrididae. The transcript is spliced from 3 exons. The record is from RefSeq and is a predicted model, not a curated record.